GUUUUAACUGACAUCCCAUUGUGAUGCUCCCCCUAUGAAUAAGCAGUAACCUAAGAGUCUCUUACAUGGUCCUUCAAGCCGGAAUUUGAGCAUCCCAAUGGACCAAGAGCAAUAUACUAGCCAAUGCCAUGUACCACCUCGUCGAGAGUCUUCAAGACAGACUAAGCCUCCAGUCUAUCUUGAGGACUAUGAGACUACCUUACCGCCAUUGAAGCCUCCUCGAACUAGCCAGUCAGUUUCCUUAGCCCCAGUCCAAAGCAGUAGUGAAGAUGCCGGAGAGAGUUAUUCUGAACCUUGUGACCCUAUCUUACGGGAAAUGAAGCAGUUGAAGGAGUUUGUUAUGGAAUUAGGCCGAAGUGUGAAGCAGAUAAAUUCCAGAGUUAAUAGGAUUUGUUCUUCAGGAAGUUCUUGGUCAUCUGAAGAAGGUAGCCAAAAUGUAUCUGCACUGCCCUCACCUGAUAAGGAGUCUUUCAUACCUUCUAUGGGGAUUGCUUCAGCUGCAGCAUUAGCUCAAGAGCUCCGAGUUCAUCUACAGGAACAACAUCAUGUGAAAGCUAGUCCCGAGUUGAAGUUACCGCCAUGUGUGAGUAGAGCGUCCUCUCUGCCUCCACCUCCUUCUUCUAUGGUACUGACUCCUCAAUCCCAGUUAGCUCCUGAUUUUAAUGUAUCACAAGUAAAUCAAGUCCCUGCUGAUGAGAAUGUCGUUAGCUAUCCAGUGGCAAGGCAGCUUUCUGCAGUUCAGAGCCCUCAUGCUCCUCAUUUGUCUACUUUGAUGGGAAGUUCACAGCAUCCGGCCAGUCAGUUCAUGCCCCCUAAUUUAUAUGCUCUAAAUCCUUGGGUUGAUGCGCAUCAUCAGUUAUCAGGUCAGUCUUAUGCAUCUAGACCUGCAGUGCAACCAUCGAUCCCUCCUUGGGCUAUGAAUCCACCAUUGUUUGGCCCAGUAUAUCCUGGAUUUUGGCCACCAGUACCAGGCCCUUUGUAUCCAAGUCAUUUGCCAGUUCCUAUGAAUGCUGUUUAUCAACAAGCACAAGAUCCCCAGGGUAUCAUGGCAUCGUCUCAGUAUUUACCAUUCUCACAGCAGGCUUUGCAUAAUUCAGUGGUUAGAACUGAACCUCCUAUUAGUCAAUUAUCAGUUCCAUUGACAUCUUUGGCAUCCGGCACGAUUACUCAAUCAUCUGUACCCAUGACAGCUCAAAGUGGAAAUAUGGCUGAUUGUAUCCAGCAGGCAAAUCAAGAUGUUCAGUCUUCAUUACCAUUAGUUAUGCCUAGUUUACCUUCACCUCUUUUUGUGAGACCUAUUGUGCAACAACAAAGUAACCAGAUGC
Molecule: long non-coding RNA, 1325 nt
Filed under: Sinocyclocheilus grahami
Lineage: Eukaryota; Metazoa; Chordata; Actinopteri; Cypriniformes; Cyprinidae
Description: lncRNA (ENSSGRG00000024686.1)
Source: RNAcentral